Molecule: unclassified non-coding RNA, 378 nt
Filed under: uncultured Oligoflexales bacterium
Lineage: Bacteria; Pseudomonadati; Bdellovibrionota; Oligoflexia; Oligoflexales
Description: contains 16S-23S intergenic spacer region
Source: RNAcentral
UCCGGCUUAACGCCGGCGGUCUCCAUAGAGUGCCCAACUAAAUGAUGGCAACUAGGGAUAGGGGUUGCGCUCGUUAAGGGACUUAACCCGACAUCUCACGAUACGAGCUGACGACAGCCAUGCAGCACCUGAACCGUAGGCCCAUUGCUGGGAGGGUACAUCUCUGUACCUGUCCUACGUUGUCUAACCCAGGUAAGGUUCUUCGCGUUGCAUCGAAUUAAACCACAUGCUCCACCGCUUGUGCGGGCCCCCGUCAAUUCCUUUGAGUUUUAAUCUUGCGACCGUACUUCCCAGGCGGGGUACUUAAUGCGUUAGCUGCGGCACUGUAGGGGUCAAUUCCCACAACACCUAGUACCCAUCGUUUACAGCGUGGACUAC